RNAcentral lists this ribosomal RNA (381 nucleotides) under uncultured eukaryote. RNAcentral's name for it is "SSU rRNA". It matches the Rfam family "Eukaryotic small subunit ribosomal RNA", at positions 587 to 972 of the family's 1831-position model. The record is from RNAcentral.
AGCUCCAAUAGCGUAUAUUAAAGUUGCUGCGGUUGAAAAGCUCGUAGUUGGAUCUCUGCCAAGGACAGCUGGUCCGCCCUCUGGGUGAGCACCUGGAUUGGCCUCGGCAUCUUCUUGGAGAACGCAGCUGCACUUGACUGUGUGGUGUGGUAUCCAAGGCCUUUACUUUGAGGAAAUUAGAGUGCUUCAAGCAGGCUUCCGCCUUGAAUACAUUAGCAUGGAAUAAUAGGAUAAGAUCGCAGCUCUAUUUUGUUGGCUUCUAGAGCUGAGGUGAUGAUGAAUAGGGAUAGUUGGGGGCAUUCGCAUUUGACUGUCAGAGGUGAAAUUCUUGGAUUUGUUGAAGACGAUCUGAUGCGAAAGCAUUUGCCAAGGAUGUUUUCA